UUUCUUGCAGAAAAACAAACAAUUCCAAUGGAACAACCAUUCAAAACAUAAUAACUCAGCCCUUUAACCUCCUACCACAGUCUAAUGCCUGGCAUUACGAGUUGGGGUAAAGAAGAAGGCAGGAACAAUGAUUGUGGAGAGCUCUAUCUGCCUCAGAAAUAAUGCCAGUCGGCAAAGGCUGCCGGCAGGUUUUGUGCUCAUUUCAAAACUUCACAUUCCUCAGGCACUUAGUGGCAUUUUUGAAGAACACUGUGUCAAGGACAGUGGGUGACCCAGGAGAGUGAUGUGAGCGAGGUCAUUCUGAAUACACAGCACUUGACGUGGUAGAGUCUACAGCCACAGCUUGGAAAAACAGCUCUUGGCAGUUGUGUCUCUCUUAGCCAGCAAGCGUGGGGACCUGUGCCACGGAGACACCCAACAGGAAUCAUCAUUCCAGGUUUUGUCACUGAUGGGCAAUAUGGAGAGAAUGUAAAAAUAUCUAACUUCAAACAGAAAAAAGAAACAACUGGAAUGAAAAGCUAUAAACAAUAGAAUAUUACCAUCAGAAUCCAAGACCUCCGAACUUCCCUGCUGAAGGCACGUUUACGUCUUUGGACUCUGGUGUACCAGGGCCUGAACAAGCUAUAACACCAUGGUAUUACCAAAUACAUCCUAAGUCAUCAAAACAGCUUUUUAGGCUAAUUCUUUCAGAAGAUUGACGUAGAGGAUUUACCUACAGAACUUCAGGAGAUUCCUAAGAAGGCCUUCAGUGAUCUUUUCAUCAAUAUCAUCAGGCCUUAUCAUUGUUUCACAUUUGCUUCUCUUUACCAUAGGGAAUAUAAUAAUUAUUUACUGGUUAACUUCCUAGGGAGAUUGCCUGCGGCUUAUUUAAGAUCCAAAUUUUAAAGUAAUAAUUUCUGUUGAAGCUGCUUGUGAGGUGGUUGGGUGGGCAGAUAGAGUGAAGCCAGGGACACACACUAAAUGAGCCCGGGAUGUAGGCAGGUUUUGAUGUUUUGCUUGCUUUUAUCCCUAACAUUUUAUCCCUUCACGUUUACUGUCUCACUGAACAUUUUGUCUACUCUUCUAGUUAUGCAGUGAGCAGGUCUCCUCCAGGAAGAAGCCUCUUUUUAUGAGGAUUGGGGUGGUGACAGACAAUAAUCAAAUGGUCUGAUUUCUCUGCUAUCCUUUCCUUUCCCCUAAAUGUUCUCAGGGGAUCUGCUUGAACUUUUUUCAAGAGCUCUGUAUUUGGAUUUUUAGUAGCCUAUAGAUUAUCACUCAAUAAAACAAAUUAAUUGUUUUUAAGUGAAUUGCCAAAAGUCAUUUUAAAAAGGAAACUCUAUGGUUAUUAUGGUUUCUGCUAGAAAGAAUUCUGACAGCUCAUAAAAGCAAUAUGUAUAAUUUUUCAUUUUUUAGAAGAAAAUAAAUACUUUCAUGUAAUGGCUUGAGACUCUGAAUUGCUCCAAUUCCUGAAGAUUAUUUAUUAAUCAUUUAGUCUUUUAAUAUAUUUGAGUGUGGGUUCCCUGGCAGAGGAGGGAGUUCAGAAGAGACCCUGAUUUCCCCCCCAAAA
RNAcentral lists this long non-coding RNA (1546 nucleotides) under Homo sapiens (human). RNAcentral describes it as "HSALNT0273140". Lineage: Eukaryota; Metazoa; Chordata; Mammalia; Primates; Hominidae. The record is from RNAcentral.